CACAGCCCCUUGCGCUCGCUGCGUAAGUAAGGCAAACGCUCAGGCUACGGCCUGACGUCGACCGUCCACUCGAUCGUGGUGGGCGGACCCGACGUUAAUACCAGCGAUCUCGCCCUCCGCCGGCGUCACGGCGACGGAGGGGACGUACACCGUGACUGGCCGAUUCGGAGCCCGGUCCCAGGGCGCCGCGCCGGCGAGAUGAAAACCGGGACUACGCUCGUAGAUGUCACGUUGGACGCGGCUUCGGACCCGGGUUCGAUUCCCGGCGCCUCCACCA
Molecule: transfer-messenger RNA, 277 nt
Filed under: Candidatus Dormiibacterota bacterium
Lineage: Bacteria; Bacillati; Candidatus Dormiibacterota
Description: partial transfer-messenger RNA
Rfam family: transfer-messenger RNA
About the family: Bacterial tmRNA, also known as 10Sa RNA or SsrA, is named for its dual tRNA and mRNA-like properties. Its role is to liberate the mRNA from a stalled ribosome.
Source: RNAcentral